RNAcentral lists this ribosomal RNA (559 nucleotides) under uncultured bacterium. RNAcentral describes it as "bacterial SSU rRNA". It matches the Rfam family "Bacterial small subunit ribosomal RNA", at positions 52 to 601 of the family's 1533-position model. The record is from RNAcentral.
CACAUGCAAGUCGAGGGGCAGCAUCAUCAAAGCUUGCUUUGAUGGAUGGCGACCGGCGCACGGGUGAGUAACACGUAUCCAACCUGCCGACAACACUGGGAUAGCCUUUCGAAAGAAAGAUUAAUACCGGAUGGCAUAAUUAUUCCGCAUGGGAUAAUUAUUAAAGAAUUUCGGUUGUCGAUGGGGAUGCGUUCCAUUAGGCAGUUGGCGGGGUAACGGCCCACCAAACCUACGAUGGAUAGGGGUUCUGAGAGGAAGGUCCCCCACAUUGGAACUGAGACACGGUCCAAACUCCUACGGGAGGCAGCAGUGAGGAAUAUUGGUCAAUGGACGAGAGUCUGAACCAGCCAAGUAGCGUGAAGGAUGACUGCCCUAUGGGUUGUAAACUUCUUUUAUACGGGAAUAAAGUUAGCCACGUGUGGCUUUUUGUAUGUACCGUAUGAAUAAGGAUCGGCUAACUCCGUGCCAGCAGCCGCGGUAAUACGGAGGAUCCGAGCGUUAUCCGGAUUUAUUGGGUUUAAAGGGAGCGUAGGCGGGUUGUUAAGUCAGUUGUGAAAGU